AUGUUCUCUGUAGCUCUGCUGCUGCUGCUGGCUGCUGCAUCCUGUGUGAAGUGUGAACAGCUGACACAACCAGCCUCUGUGACUGUGCAGCCAGGUCAACAUCUGACCAUCAGCUGUCAAGUCUCUUAUUCUAUCAGCACCUACUGGACAGUGUGGGUCAGACAGCCCAUUGGGAAGGGAUUGGAGUGGAUUGGUGGAUCUGGCAUUGGACAUAUCACAGUGUUCAAAGAUUCACUAAAUAACAAGUUCAGCAUCAGCUUAGAUGGCUCCAGUAAAACAGUGACAUUAAAUGGGCAGAAUAUGCAGCCUGAAGACUCUGCUGUGUAUUACUGUGCCAGAAAGACCACAGUGACACAAGCAAGCAGCAAAACUGUACAAAAACAUCACAGUCUGAGAAUAAGUAUGCAGUAA
Molecule: non-coding RNA, 411 nt
Organism: Poeciliopsis prolifica (blackstripe livebearer)
Lineage: Eukaryota; Metazoa; Chordata; Actinopteri; Cyprinodontiformes; Poeciliidae
Source: the annotation of a RefSeq genome assembly